Aethalodelphis obliquidens (Pacific white-sided dolphin) is the source of this 2402-nucleotide long non-coding RNA. RefSeq lists it as uncharacterized. The record is from RefSeq and is a predicted model, not a curated record. NCBI's taxonomy places the organism in Eukaryota, Metazoa, Chordata, Mammalia, Artiodactyla, Delphinidae. The transcript is spliced from 3 exons.
GCCACAGCAGUGAGAGGCCUGCGUACCGGGAAAAAAAAAAAAAAAAAAAAAGAAUUUACAGACUAGUAGAGGCAAAAGACCAACACAACUAAGCCACCCUGCAAGGCUUAAUGUUCUGAGUAGCAGAGGAGGGGGACAGAUAGGAGGGCAGAGAUAAAGAGGCCAGACGUCAUGUGCUCUCUGCAGAAAGAGACACAGCUCCUCUACUGUAAAAGUCAGCACCACAGAUGAGAGCUCCUUUAACUUCCCUGUCCCCACAAACUGGCUACUGUGCUCAUCUUUCUCUCUUCCUUCUAUUCCCAGUGAAAGAGAUGUCUUUCCUCACUUUUGUCCUCAGGAUAUCUUCCACUUCUCCCCUCUUACCCUCAGCAUAUGGAGUUCAGGUCUGUCAUUGGUGAAAAUAAACUCCUCCUUAACUUCUUUCAGUCCUCAAGCUUCCAAUCUUUCUCCUCACCAUUAAAGCCAAGGCCCUGGACAUGUCUUUAUCAUGCUAUAAUUGCUGGCUUGCUGAUCUAGCUCCCCACUAGACUGAAAGUGUUGCUGGUGGGGAGACCAUGUCUUACUCAUCUGUCUCCCAGUGCCCGGCACAGAGCCCACUGCAGAGUACGUAUGUGCUCAGUAAGUGUUGUGUUGAAGGAAUACAUGAAUGCACCAAGGGAUUUUAAUAAACAUUUUCAUUUGCAGCUAACUUAGAGUAGCUCUUUGAAGUUGAAUGAAUGAAUGAAUGAAAAACUAACCCCAUCAAGGCUAGGAGAUUCUAAGUGAUUUGCUUAGUCUCACCUAGCAAGAAGAGCCUGGCCUCAAAUCUAGGUCUUCUUGGACUCUUCUGUCUACACCACUGUUUUCUCCCUCACACCCCACACACAAGGCAGCAUCAGAGAGGCUCCAAGCAGUCUUAGUCUCAGCAACAAUACUACAAGUUAGCAUUUAUUGAGUACUUACUACAUGCCAGGCAUGGUUCCAAGGGUUUUUCCAUAGAGUAUCUCUAAUAUUCACAGGAACCCUAAGGGACGAAUACUAUUUAUUAACCCAGUUUACAGAUGAAAAUACUGAGGCUUAAAGAAGAUAACUAAUUAAAGUGUCAUAAGUGUUAAAUGAUAGCUGGGAUAUGAAUGUAGAUUUGUCAAUGGUAAAUGUGGAGUUCAAUUCCAAUCUCAUGUUUACCACCUCAAAUCCCCCAUAAAUCUCUUGUCUUUUCUUCCCCAACCUCACCGUGGUAGCCUGUAGAGGACUCCCGUUGGCUCAUAGCCUUCUGUGGCUUUGUUUUCACCUCUGAAAAGAGCGGUCACAUCUGCUGAGGGGUUUCCCUACUUUACAGGAAUAAUGCCAAUAUGAAUAUUCUUGUACAUGUAUUUUGAUGCCCAAGUGCCUGAGGAGAUUUCCGGGAUCAAAGGGUAUGCAUAUAUAUCUUUGAUUUUACUAGAAAAUGGCAAACUGUCUUCCAAAAUGGUUGUACCAAUCUAUAACCUCAGUAGUAGUGCAUGAGAGUUUCCAGUGCCAUCUGCUGAGAAAUUGUUUGAAUACAUAUACAAAUCUACUAUGUCUACACAAUAGAUGUUGUGAGGUUGUAUAGUGCACAACCUGAACAUCUGUAUAUGAGAGGCUGGAGAUCAAAUACCUUUUCUCUUUUUUAUUUCUUCUUUUUUUUUCAGUGGGAGCCAGAAUAGACAUAAUACCUAUACCCAAAAGCCUACAUCCAUAAGGACAUUCUGAGGUCAACCAAGAGAUGUGAGCUCUGAAGUUUCACCACUUUUUAAAAAUCUUCUCUCAUUCAUGAGAUUAUAGUAGUGGCAGCCAUUUUGUACCAUUUUAUACAAUUUAGUCAUGCCACCAGCCCCAGUCAUAGUUGAUAAACCAUAAGCAAAUGUUGACCAAGCUAGUGUAAUCAGAGACCUUUCUCCCAGAAUGAGGAAUAAAGAGAUUAAAUUUUUGUAUCAUGUAGGUGGUUAUAUGUAGGGCACGCAAAAACCCAGUUUUCAGAGAGAAAGAGAGAUUGUAGAAAAAAUAAAUCACACCCUUAGAGGAUAGAUGAGCAAAGGAAAACAGAGAAUCUUAGUCAUUUUUAUAGUUGUUUGUUCUUUCCAGAAAUUUCUUCAGGUUAAGCUGCACUCCAAUCUUUUGGUGACUUAGCACCUUCAUUUUAGAAUUCCCCAAUUUGUGUUAGCACUGGUUUGCCUUGGUAUGUACGUAUUUGCAACAACUUAAAUGUGAAAUCCAUAAAGGCAAUGAGUUUUGUUGGUUUUGUUCACUAUUAUGCCUCUUAGCAUCUAAAAUAAUUCUUGCACCUAGAACUCUCUCAGUAAGUAGCUGUUUUUUUUUUUUUUUUUUUUUUUGGCGGUACGCAGGCCUUUCACUGUUGUGGCCUCUCCCGCUGCAGAGCACAGGCUCAGGACGCGCAGGCU